GGAUGAAUGGUUGAGAGGUUUAAAACAUCAAUUUUGAAAAUUGACAUAAAUUUUAUUUAUCGUAGGUUCGAAUCCUACUUCAUCCG
This 86-nucleotide transfer RNA is filed under the name Riquetophycus sp. HSY-2014a. RNAcentral's name for it is "tRNA-Ser". It matches the Rfam family "tRNA". Rfam says of the family: Transfer RNA (tRNA) molecules are approximately 80 nucleotides in length. Their secondary structure includes four short double-helical elements and three loops (D, anti-codon, and T loops). Further hydrogen bonds mediate the characteristic L-shaped molecular structure. tRNAs have two regions of fundamental functional importance: the anti-codon, which is responsible for specific mRNA codon recognition, and the 3' end, to which the tRNAs corresponding amino acid is attached (by aminoacyl-tRNA synthetases). tRNAs cope with the degeneracy of the genetic code in two manners: having more than one tRNA (with a specific anti-codon) for a particular amino acid; and 'wobble' base-pairing, i.e. permitting non-standard base-pairing at the 3rd anti-codon position. Lineage: Eukaryota; Rhodophyta; Florideophyceae; Peyssonneliales; Peyssonneliaceae. The record is from RNAcentral.